CCCCUGCUUGUGCUCUCUCUCUCUCUCUCUGGGUCAAAUAAAAUCUUUUUAAAAAGGUGGAGCCAGAGAAAUCUUUAGUCUUGGGCUAAUUUUGUCAGAUCACUGAUGCUCUCCUUUCCUGGGGACUUUACUCAGUGCCCAUAUAGCAGGAGGACGUUCUCUCUGGCUGGUCAGAACAUAAACUACUCCCAGCCUUAUGUGAGUUUUAAUGGUUGUUCUGUCUACUUCUUUCUCAUGUUUCGUGUUUCUUUUCCUGAUUUGGGGUUGUUUCUUCCCAGGCACAUGCCUGUUGGUCCUCAGUUUCAAGUGGAUCCAGAGAUCUGAGUCUGUGAAACUCCCUCUCCUCUGGCAUGUUGCCCUAGAGAUUUAAUCUCCUGGACUCUCUGAACCCUGUUCUUCUUCAGCUUGAAUACAAGGAUCUGGACCUUGGAGUACCUGUCUUCCCAGUCUGGCCAACAGCGGCACCCCCUACCGCUCCUCCUGGGACACCAGAGCUCCGAGAGCAUGAAGUCUCAGGACACGCGCCUCUGCCACCUCGGUUCACUGUACUGCUGAAGCCCAACUCACCCCAUUUUUGUGCCCUUGGCCUCUCUGCUGUAGUCCACCCCUCCUCUAAUGCCUGAGACCAUAGACAUCCCUGUCAUGAUUCUGGAUGCGGCCCAGUCUGCUCUUUGUUUUCUCCCAACUCUUCGGGUGGGGGCGGGUUUCCAGCCUCUUGGUGUGCGCAGCCAGUGGGUAGGAGAUGGCCAAGUGUGGACUGACAGAUGCUGGGUCCUUUCCUUGGUACCCAAGACUGGCAUACUUCUACCCCACUUCCUUUCCUUCUCAACCCCAGGGGGCCCCACUGCUCCUAGUCCUUUCGCUAGCUGGAGAAACUGAGGCUUGAGCAAACUAGGUGUCUAGACCAAAAUGGUGCAGCUAACCACUGCUCUGCUUUUAAUUCCUUCUUCUUCGAAAAGUAAUUUUUUAAAAAUUUAUCAAACCGGUAUUUGCUUUGUAACAAAGUACCACAGCACAGUCUAUCACUAAUCUCCUCCUUUUCCCGAACCUAUGGUCACAGUCCCCUAAGGCAACCAGUGUCCCCAGUUUUGACAUUGACUCCCACAUCUCUCCCCUUGUUCUCAUACUCAGACUCCAACGUACAUAGGCUUAAGCAUGUUGUUUUAAAAAUGAGAUCAUACUGUAUACAUUCCAGUGCUGUCCUGUGUUCAAGUUGACAUGUAAUUCACAUACCAUAAAAUCCACCCUUGGCAAGCGUCCUGUUCGGUGGUUUUGAGUGCACUCAUGUAGAGCAGCUGUCACCACAGUCCAUUUCCUUACCCAGAAAGAACCCCCGUGCCCAUCAGCAGUCACUCUAGCUCUCAGCAACCGCUCAUUUGCUUUUUGCCUCUCUCUAUUUGCUUAUUCUGGGCAUUGCACAUAAAUGAGAUCAUAUAGUAUGUGGCCACCUUCUUCUGGCCUCCUUCACUUAGUGUAACGUACAACGCAUGUCUUGGGCUAGCUGCAUUAUUUUCCACGGUCUGCCUGUGUGCAUGUGCCCUAAUUUAGCCCGCUGUCCUAAUAUCUUGGUUGGUUGGUUGGUUUGGGGUAAGUACAGUGCUGCGAUAUCCUGCCUUGCAUUUGCUUCCUUAUGUGCAGGAACUUUUGUUUCUGUAGUAUAAGUACCCAGAAGGGUGUAACAGUUCCCACUCCUGACAAAAAUGCUUCCUCAUGGCCGAGAUCCCAGGUUUUAAUUAGUGUUGCUCUGAUAGGGAAAAACGCAUGACCUUAUUUUUGUUUUGAUUUCCAUUUUCCUGACAAGAAAUCAUUAGUCUUGCAUCGUCUGUCGGAAAUUUGCAUUUCUUCCUUUUCGAGUGGCUUUUUCUUUUUUUUAAAUGUUGAAACAGUUAAACA
Lutra lutra (Eurasian river otter) is the source of this 1893-nucleotide long non-coding RNA. RefSeq lists it as uncharacterized. NCBI's taxonomy places the organism in Eukaryota, Metazoa, Chordata, Mammalia, Carnivora, Mustelidae. The transcript has 2 exons. The record is from RefSeq and is a predicted model, not a curated record.